GCUUACGUUCACACGUCAUUUCUAAUAAACUAUUUUCGCCGGUAUGAGUUCUUUGAACAUUCGCGGAUUUUUCUUGUUGAUGAUCCCUCUCUUCGUCGCAGGUGCUACGAAUGACCGCGAGAAGGUGAAGGCGACAAAGGGAGAAAGUUUCGUCCUCUUUGAAAUUCCUGGAUUUGCGGAUGUUUCUAAAGUGACUGUGCAAAGACCGUGUGAAAACGGGUCUCUCGUGUUCCGAUACUGCUCGCCUGAUGAAGAGAAGAAGGGCUGCAAGUCUUCUGGGUCAGACAAAUACCAAGUUCACAACGGGACUGUCAUUGUUGCUAAUGCCAGUUUCAGUGACCAAGGAUGCUACACUGUCAAAGUGAUCGGGAACUCCGAUAUUACUCAAUCUUUAACAGUAGUUGUCAACGAACCCCAGUACAGUACCGUCAGCCCAGAAUCACAGUACAGUACCGUCAGCCCAGAAUCACAGUACAGUACCAUCAGCCCAGAAUCACAGUACAGUACCGUCAGCCCAGAAUCACAGUACAGUACCAUCAGCCCAGAAUCACAGUACAGUACCGUCAGCCCAGAAUCACCGCACCCAACAUCCCCCACACCCACUGAGGGAGGUUUAGAUAAACCAGUCAUUGCAGCAGUUGUGUUGAUUGCGAUUGGGUUUGCGAUUUGGUUUGGGCUAGUCAUUCAUUGCUGCAUAUGUAAAAAGAAAAAGAGCCAGAAGAAGUCUGAUUCUCAGCAGGACGCUACUAUUCAAGAUGGAGGACAAGGCGCCUAGCCAGCAGAGAAAGACCAACUUUUAAUGAAGGAUUUGAAUCUCAGUUCAAUCAAGGAAAACAAAGAGAAGCCUACAAGACUGUGAAAGGACAUUGGACCCCUUCACCACCCUGCCUAAUCACCAACUCUUCUCUUGGCUCUCAACGAAGGCGGUCGCAUUUUCUCACCCUCUCCCUCCCCCUCCCCUUACCUUCCCUGCUUAGCUCCUCUCGUUACGUCUACUGUCUUGUACUUUGAGAGACUCUCUCAGCACUGCUCUCCAAACUAAGACAUCAUGGAUUUGAUCAACUGGUCUCUCAACGCAAUUGACACCAUCUUCUCGACGAGAAGCUUGGGUUCGGGGGAACCUGACUGCCCUGCCGGAACGUUCGCAGCUGGCUACACGAUGGACACGGAGAGGUGGUGGGUCGUGUGUCUGGCGGCUCUUUCCGUGGAGGACAUGGAAGAUAUCUACCUAUUCGGUACCAUGAUAACAGGUCUUCUGCUGAUUGGAUUAGGCAUUGCCCUGGUUUAUCGAGGAAUUAAGAAGACUGUGACAGCUGUCCAAAGCCUCACAAGGCUGCCCGUCAUGAUUGAAGCAGUGGGCAGAGCUGUCUGCACUCGGGUCUAUGAACCAAAAUACGGAUAACAUCAUGGAGGAGCUCACAGCUUUGCAAAGGCAAAUGGAUCGUUUCAGAGACCAAAAUGGAGCGGAAGAAUAGCCGUGUAAAUCAGAAGUGGCUACUCGCCUCAAGACCAAACAAUCCCAAUCUUAUCUGUUUCGGCCGCCCUCAACCAGCACUGGCCUUGGCCAAGGCCGCUGUUGGAACAACAA
Xyrauchen texanus (razorback sucker) is the source of this 1588-nucleotide RNA transcript. RefSeq lists it as uncharacterized. The record is from RefSeq and is a predicted model, not a curated record. The transcript is spliced from 6 exons. Lineage: Eukaryota; Metazoa; Chordata; Actinopteri; Cypriniformes; Catostomidae.